GAAGUGUGCCCGAGACAGGGGUUAUUUUGAUGAAAUAAACACAGAGUAAUACAACUCUCACUUCC
RNAcentral lists this transfer RNA (65 nucleotides) under Phrynocephalus axillaris (toad-headed agama). Its description in RNAcentral is "tRNA-Ile". Lineage: Eukaryota; Metazoa; Chordata; Lepidosauria; Squamata; Agamidae. The record is from RNAcentral.